Non-coding RNA from Camelina sativa (false flax), 351 nucleotides. NCBI's taxonomy places the organism in Eukaryota, Viridiplantae, Streptophyta, Magnoliopsida, Brassicales, Brassicaceae. The record is from RefSeq and is a predicted model, not a curated record.
CAACUCCAGGAGAUGUUAGGCGAGGGCUGCACACUAUUCGACGGUAUGUCGAAGAGUAUAGGAUCAAUGGAUUUUUUGGUCCACUUGUUGAGUUGGUUGAUUGCGAUGAAAAGUUUUUCACUGCAGUUGAAGUCACUGCUGGAAACAGCCUGUUUCACGUGGUAGUUGAGAAUGAUGAUAUUUCAACCAAGUUAAUCAGACACCUGAAUUCUAUAAAGGGUGGUCGACUGACCUUCUUACCUCUGAAUCGGGUAAAGGCGCCUCAUGUAAACUUUCCACAAGAUUCUGCUGCAAUACCACUGCUGAAAAAGUUAAAGUACGACUCUAAGUUUGGACCAGCAUUGGCUCAGG